This 1372-nucleotide ribosomal RNA is filed under the name Prays oleae. Its description in RNAcentral is "16S ribosomal RNA". The stretch from base 1124 to 1282 matches the Rfam family "Eukaryotic large subunit ribosomal RNA", at positions 2825 to 2984 of the family's 3401-position model. The record is from RNAcentral. Lineage: Eukaryota; Metazoa; Arthropoda; Insecta; Lepidoptera; Praydidae.
GGGGAAAAAUUAAUAAUAAAGUAUAAAAUAAUAAAAUUAAUUUUAAUUUAAAAAUAUUUAAUUGGGGGGUUAAAGUAUUUUUAAAGAAAAAAUUAACUAUUUUAUAGAAAAUUAGUAUAGUAAUAGAAUUUUGAAAUAUUUUGAAAAUAAAUUAUUUAUAAAGAAAAUUUAUUUUAUUGUAUCUUGUGUAUCAGAGCUUAUUAAAAAAAUUUUUUAUAUAAAAAAUUCUCAAAUUUAAAAGAGUUAAUUAGUAAUAAAAUUUAAUGUUUUAUAAUUAUUUUAAAUUAUUAAUUUGAAAUGAAAUGUUAAUCGUUUUUAAAUAUAUUUAGUUUUUUUAGAAAUAAAUUUAAUUUAUAAUUUUAAUUUUGAUUAAUUUUUUUAUUUAAAUAAAUCAAUUAAAAUAAAAGUAUUUUAAGGGAUAAUCUUUAAAGUAAAUUUUUAUAAUAAAAUAAUAUUUUAUAAAUUAAAAAUUUUAUAAUUUAUAUUUUUAAUAAAUUUUAAUUUUUUAUAAAUAAUUUUAAUAAAAAUAAAAUUUUAAUUUAUUUAAUUUUAUAUAAAAAAAAAUAAUUUAAUAAAGAAAUUAUUAUUAUAAUGAUAAGAUUAGUAUAUAAAUAAUAUAAUAAUUAUAUUUAUUAUUUUAAUUUAUAAAAAGGAAUUCGGCAAAAAUUUAUUUAUGUAUGUAUAUAUGUAUAUAUAUAUAUAUAUAUAUAAUAUUUUCACCUGUUUAUCAAAAACAUGUCUUUUUGAUUAUAAUUUAAAGUCUAAUCUGCCCACUGAUUAUUAAUUAAAGGGCUGCAGUAAUUUGACUGUACAAAGGUAGCAUAAUCAUUAGUCUCUUAAUUGGUGACUUGUAUGAAAGAUUGGAUGAGAUAUAUACUGUCUCUUUAUAAUUUUUAGAAUUUUAUUUUUUAUUUAAAAAGAUAAAAUAAGUAUAAAAGACGAGAAGACCCUAUAAAGUUUAAUAAAAAAUUUAUUAAAAAUUAUUUAUAAAAUUUAAAUUGAAAUUAGGUUUUUUAUUUUGUUGGGGUGAUAAAAAAAUUAAAUUAACUUUUUUUAAUAAAUUUACAUAAAUAAUUGAUUUAUUGAUCCAGAAUUUUUGAUUACAAGAUUAAAUUACUUUAGGGAUAACAGCGUAAUUUUUUUUUUUAGUUCAUAUAAGAAAAAAAGUUUGCGACCUCGAUGUUGGAUUAAGAUAAAAUUUAAAUGCAAAAGUUUAAAAUUUUGAUCUGUUCGAUCAUUAAAAUCUUACAUGAUCUGAGUUCAAACCGGUGUGAGCCAGGUUGGUUUCUAUCUUUAUAUAAAUAUAAUAUUUUAGUACGAAAGGAAUUUAUAUUAAAAAUAAUUUUAAAAUUUGAAUAUUAUUAAUUUAUUU